This is a non-coding RNA of Trichobilharzia regenti, 45 nucleotides long. The record is from Rfam. NCBI's taxonomy places the organism in Eukaryota, Metazoa, Platyhelminthes, Trematoda, Strigeidida, Schistosomatidae.
AUCCAGUUAACGAGUCCCAAAUAGGACGAAAUGCGCAUCCUGGAU